This 23-nucleotide non-coding RNA is filed under the name Arabidopsis thaliana (thale cress). Lineage: Eukaryota; Viridiplantae; Streptophyta; Magnoliopsida; Brassicales; Brassicaceae. The record is from RNAcentral.
CGGAUUUGGCGGGAUGAGUUUGG